This 465-nucleotide ribosomal RNA is filed under the name Vreelandella stevensii. RNAcentral's name for it is "partial 16S ribosomal RNA". It matches the Rfam family "Bacterial small subunit ribosomal RNA", at positions 338 to 795 of the family's 1533-position model. The record is from RNAcentral. Lineage: Bacteria; Pseudomonadati; Pseudomonadota; Gammaproteobacteria; Oceanospirillales; Halomonadaceae.
CCUACGGGGUGCAGCAGUGGGGAAUAUUGGACAAUGGGCGAAAGCCUGAUCCAGCCAUGCCGCGUGUGUGAAGAAGGCCUUCGGGUUGUAAAGCACUUUCAGUGGGGAAGAAAGCCUUGGGGCUAAUACCCUCGAGGAAGGACAUCACCCACAGAAGAAGCACCGGCUAACUCCGUGCCAGCAGCCGCGGUAAUACGGAGGGUGCGAGCGUUAAUCGGAAUUACUGGGCGUAAAGCGCGCGUAGGCGGUCUGAUAAGCCGGUUGUGAAAGCCCCGGGCUCAACCCGGGAACGGCAUCCGGAACUGUCAGGCUAGAGUGCAGGAGAGGAAGGUAGAAUUCCCGGUGUAGCGGUGAAAUGCGUAGAGAUCGGGAGGAAUACCGGUGGCGAAGGCGGCCUUCUGGACUGACACUGACGCUGAGGUGCGAAAGCGUGGGUAGCAAACAGGAUUAGAUACCCUUGUAGUC